UUGAUGACAACGUGUCGCCACCGAAUCCUUCACAGUUCUGGCGGUAAACGACUUGUUAUUUGACGAAAGUUAAAAUCCAGUUAAUUUGUGCAAUACCGCCACUUUCUGCUCCGGAGUGCUUCCACAGAAAUCACGGGAAAGCGAACGUGGUCCCUCAUUAUCGAGUGGAGUCACUGUGAGUGUGAACGGUGUGUGAUUCGGUGUCUCUGUUCGGCGGUGCUUCUGGACCUCAUACUUACCUGGCAGGUUGAUUGAUGUAACAACUUCGGAACCACCACAUUAUCUCAGGUUUUACGGGAAGGAGUUUAGGAGAGGCGCGCACACAGAAACAGUUCGGCUAUGAUGGAUGGAGCCGCAGUGGAGCAGGAGCAGAAGAGGAUUUUUUACACCAAAACUGGGAACCAGCAAAAAAUAAAGGUGAACAAUGAUUGGAUUGUUAAGGGAAAAGAACAAAGCAGGUUGCAGGUUGAGAAGUGGUUUACCUCACUACGUUUGCUACCCAGGAUCUACCUAGGAACACGGUUCAUUUCAAGUCGGGUAUGUGAGUCGACAGUGUUGAGUGGAGUUUUAUACCAAAACUACUGUGUUUCUGUAACCCUGCAUUUCUGAAGCUCUUGUGUUAUU
Trichomycterus rosablanca is the source of this 624-nucleotide long non-coding RNA. RefSeq lists it as uncharacterized. The transcript is spliced from 3 exons. The record is from RefSeq and is a predicted model, not a curated record. NCBI's taxonomy places the organism in Eukaryota, Metazoa, Chordata, Actinopteri, Siluriformes, Trichomycteridae.